UGGGGAAUAUUGCACAAUGGGCGCAAGCCUGAUGCAGCCAUGCCGCGUGUAUGAAGAAGGCCUUCGGGUUGUAAAGUACUUUCAGCGGGGAGGAAGGGAGUAAAGUUAAUACCUUUGCUCAUUGACGUUACCCGCAGAAGAAGCACCGGCUAACUCCGUGCCAGCAGCCGCGGUAAUACGGAGGGUGCAAGCGUUAAUCGGAAUUACUGGGCGUAACGCGCACGCAGGCGGUUUGUUAAGUCAGAUGUGAAAUCCCCGGGCUCAACCUGGGAACUGCAUCUGAUACUGGCAAGCUUGAGUCUCGUAGAGGGGGGUAGAAUUCCAGGUGUAGCGGUGAAAUGCGUAGAGAUCUGGAGGAAUACCGGUGGCGAAGGCGGCCCCCUGGACGAAGACUGACGCUCAGGUGCGAAAGCGUGGGGAGCAAACAGG
This 429-nucleotide ribosomal RNA is filed under the name Chloroflexota bacterium. RNAcentral describes it as "Chloroflexi bacterium partial 16S ribosomal RNA". It matches the Rfam family "Bacterial small subunit ribosomal RNA", at positions 355 to 776 of the family's 1533-position model. The record is from RNAcentral. Lineage: Bacteria; Bacillati; Chloroflexota.